RNAcentral lists this long non-coding RNA (583 nucleotides) under Canis lupus dingo (dingo). RNAcentral describes it as "lncRNA (ENSCAFG00020025303.1)". The record is from RNAcentral. Lineage: Eukaryota; Metazoa; Chordata; Mammalia; Carnivora; Canidae.
CGGGGGACCGGCGCCAGGGCUAGGGCCCGCGCUUCCCGGCGGCACCGGCAGCAUCCCGGACUCACGGACGGCUCGAGAGCCCGGCCGAAGCCCCGACCCCGCGGCACGGUCUGCGGCACCCCUCCGCGCUCCGGCCGGCGCCAGGGGCGGCACUGCCCUUCCAGGGACUGAGCCGAGCGCAAGGCCGCGUUCUCGCAGGCCUGUGCCGAAGCCCACGUCUUCCCGCCGCAGGCCCCGCCUUCCCUGGGCACCCCUCGCCUUUAGCUUUACCUGUGCCGGGCCGGCGACUGGAAAUUCCUCAAGACCCGGUGGGAAUCUGCUGUCGUGACGCAGUGAAGUCGCCUAAUGAGAGAGUUCACCAGACCAGAGGAAACAAAUACUACAUGAAGUGCUGGAGGAUGGGCAGGUCCAGGGUGUCACAUGCUGGUGAUGUUGGAACCACUAUGACAGAACCAUUCACAUUGGGUCCCACCAAGAAGAAAGCCUUCAGCAGGACGGCAGCCAAGGUGACUGAGGCUGGGGUUGGGGGGCGGGGGCGCAGCCCCGCGUGGUGUGAUGGUCCCUGACGUGGCCUUGCCACAUG